This 497-nucleotide ribosomal RNA is filed under the name uncultured bacterium. RNAcentral describes it as "partial 16S ribosomal RNA". It matches the Rfam family "Bacterial small subunit ribosomal RNA", at positions 28 to 507 of the family's 1533-position model. The record is from RNAcentral.
GAUGAACGCUGGCGGCGUGCCUAAUACAUGCAAGUCGAGCGAACGGACGAGAAGCUUGCUUCUCUGAUGUUAGCGGCGGACGGGUGAGUAACACGUGGAUAACCUACCUAUAAGACUGGGAUAACUUCGGGAAACCGGAGCUAAUACCGGAUGAUAUUUUGAACCGCAUGGUUCAAAAGUGAAAGACGGUCUUGCUGUCACUUAUAGAUGGAUCCGCGCUGCAUUAGCUAGUUGGUAAGGUAACGGCUUACCAAGGCAACGAUGCAUAGCCGACCUGAGAGGGUGAUCGGCCACACUGGAACUGAGACACGGUCCAGACUCCUACGGGAGGCAGCAGUAGGGAAUCUUCCGCAAUGGGCGAAAGCCUGACGGAGCACCGCCGCGUGAGUGAUGAAGGUCUUCGGAUCGUAAAACUCUGUUAUUAGGGAAGAACAUAUGUGUAAGUAACUGUGCACAUCUUGACGGUACCUAAUCAGAAAGCCACGGCUAACUACGUG